CCUACGGGUGGCUGCAGUAAGGAAUAUUGGUCAAUGGAGGAAACUCUGAACCAGCCAUCCCGCGUGAAGGAUGAAGGGGCUCUGCCUUGUAAACUUCUUUUGUCUGGGGCGAAAAAGCUCGAUUUAUCGAGAACUGACGGUACCAGAAGAAUAAGCACCGGCUAACUCCGUGCCAGCAGCCGCGGUAAUACUGAGGGUGCAAGCGUUAUCGGGAAUCACGGUGUCGAAAGCGUGCGUAUGCGUCAUUGUUGAAAGGCUGUGGCUUAACCAUGGAAUUGCAAUUGAUACUGCAGAGCUUGAAUGAGGUUGAGGUUGGCGGAAUGUGACAUGUAGCGGUGAAAUGCUUAGAUAUGUCAUGGAACACCGAUUGCGAAGGCAGCUGACUGGACCUAUAUUGACGCUGAGGCACGAAAGCGUGGGGAGCGAACAGGAUUAGAUACCCGAGUAGUC
RNAcentral lists this ribosomal RNA (450 nucleotides) under uncultured bacterium. RNAcentral describes it as "partial 16S ribosomal RNA". It matches the Rfam family "Bacterial small subunit ribosomal RNA", at positions 338 to 795 of the family's 1533-position model. The record is from RNAcentral.